Molecule: ribosomal RNA, 370 nt
Filed under: uncultured eukaryote
Lineage: Eukaryota
Description: partial 18S ribosomal RNA
Rfam family: Eukaryotic small subunit ribosomal RNA
Source: RNAcentral
CAAUAGCGUAUAUUAAAGUUGUUGUAGUUAAAAAGCUCGUAGUUGGAUUUCUGGUCGGAAGCUCCUGUCCUCUGAUGAGCGUACAAGUGCGUCCUACCAUCCUUCUGUUAACCUUUAAGGCUUUCGCGGCUUUCUAGGGGCUCAGAUAUUUUACCUUGAGAAAAUUAGAGUGUUUCAGGCAGGCUAGCGCCGGAAUACAUUAGCAUGGAAUAAUGGAAUAGGACUUUUGCCUCUUCUGUUGGUCAUGAGGCUCGAGUAAUGAUUAAUAGGGAUAGUUGGGGGCAUUAGUACUUAACUGUCAGAGGUGAAAUUCUCGGAUUUGUUAAAGACUAACUUAUGCGAAAGCAUUUGCCAAGGAUGUUUUCAUUAA